Molecule: non-coding RNA, 72 nt
Organism: Phrynosoma platyrhinos (Desert horned lizard)
Lineage: Eukaryota; Metazoa; Chordata; Lepidosauria; Squamata; Phrynosomatidae
Source: the annotation of a GenBank genome assembly
GCCAGAAUGGCAUAGCCGUUUGAGCGUUGGACUAGGAUUCUGGAGACCAGGGUUCGAAUCCCAGCUCAGCCA